Long non-coding RNA from Arabidopsis lyrata subsp. lyrata, 493 nucleotides. RefSeq lists it as uncharacterized. The transcript has 3 exons. Lineage: Eukaryota; Viridiplantae; Streptophyta; Magnoliopsida; Brassicales; Brassicaceae. The record is from RefSeq and is a predicted model, not a curated record.
AUUCAAAAGUCUCUGUUUUUUUUUUUUAUCUUCAGUUUAUUUAGUUUUUGUUCAUCGUUACAAAUCAAAUCCUCGCUCAAAGAAGAAAAAUUCAAGAAAAAAAAUGUAGAAGCUGUUUGAGGAAGGUGGAACCUUUCAUAACGAGACAAAAUUAUCAAGUUGGCAGCUCCCAUCAUCAUUUGGCAGUGUUCCAAGAACCAACAAUGCCUGGAAAGUUUAUCUCCUCUGAACCAACGAUCACAGGAGUCCGUGUUUUGUUAGCAACCUCCAAUUGGGCCAUAUAAUGUGCUUCGUAGUCCGUGGAUCUCGAUCAAUAUUGUCAUAAAAAUUUUCAUUCCGUACUUUCUAAAUGUACCACAUAAUCUAAGAAAAUUAUUGGAAUAUGUUGGUGUUCUCCAAAACAAGUGAUCGAUAUUUAUAUAGAGCGAUAUACACCAUUGGUAUUAAAUAUCUCUAAUGAUGAUGUAAUAAAACGACAAAAAAAUCUUGUAAA